GCUGGCCAUAAUCAGGGUUCCCUGAGGCUGUCAUGUCUGCCUUGGGGAGGUGAGUGGCAGCGCCGUACGUGGAGUCAAAGAGGGACUGGUCGUCGCUCACCACCGACAGGGCCUCCUUGACGUAAGACGAAGUGUCUGGUACAGUCUGAAACAUCCUUACGUGUUUAGCAGAUAUUUUAAAAGGUCCUAAAAUUGAUCUUUGAUACCCUUUCC
This 213-nucleotide long non-coding RNA is filed under the name Gallus gallus (chicken). Lineage: Eukaryota; Metazoa; Chordata; Aves; Galliformes; Phasianidae. The record is from RNAcentral.